ACUCCUGCGCCAUGACCGGUGACCCCGGUCUUGCGGCUGGGUGUGGGCGUUCGCUUUUGCUGUAGCGCAGCCGGUAGUGUUCCCUCACAUCUCGAGACCCGCAUCCCGUCCUUCUCUCUCCUCCUCCUUUCUCCUCGUCAGCCAUCAAUCCGCCUCCUCGCUGCUCCGGUUUACUCCACCGAUUUCUCUCCGGCUGCCGGCCUCCCAGCCCCCCACCUCACAACGGCAUUUCCUGAGGAGCAGCGCGAGCGAGGCCAACAGGCGGAAGGAUCGGAUCGUGGCCUCGCACGCUGGCUCGUCAUCUGCUUUGGCACCUUUCGGAUCUGCGCUGCUGCGUGCGAUGGUUCUAAAUCAGUGCAGGUCGUCGCCGCGGGAUAGUAGGGCCGGCGGAUUCUUCGCAUCGGGGGCUGGCUGGCAGGGGAGGGUUAGGAGGCCGGCAUGACUUGCUAACGAGCAUAGGUCGGCCGCGCUCUCGCUUUGACCGCUUUGCUCUCUUUCUCCUCCUCGUUGUGUUGCGCUCUCUCUCUCUCUCUUCGAUUGGAUUUCCUCUCCUUCACCGGUGGUGCUCUCGUCGGCUGCAAUGUCGUCCAUACUCUGGACGGGACUAUUGGUUGAUUAUCUUGCCAUCCGUUCUUCCUUCGGCGAUUAAUUGAGGAUGGAGCAGCAGGCAUAGAUGAAAUCUACUGCCAAUUUCUAUUGGUUGUGGCAUCUUCCGCUGAGUAACUCUACGAAACAGCCUGCUAGCAUUGAUUCUUGCAAUAAAAAAAUAAGUCUAGCAUCAUUCAUAAAAAGCUUAUAGACUUAGAUAAUUUCUUAAUCUUGCACUGGUUCUCACCAGUGAGAUUGUACAUGUGGUAUUUUGAGAAUACCAGUGUAAUUCACUGGUCCAAAAGCUCCAUUUCUUAAUGUGUUUUUGCAGAAUGCUACCAGUAAUGUUUUUCUUUUCCUUAAUGUACAAACAUAUCUAUUAGAUAUGAUUUUGGAUCUGAACUUUUCCCUGUCUGCAGCUCACAUUGUGGUAUGGUCAUGGUACAGCAAAAGGAAAAGAUGUUUAAACUUUUUUUGGGCGUCAUACAUGAAAAGUACCUUUAUUUCCAUCGAGCUUAAUUACUAAGAAAAUGUUACCACUAUUUCCUUACUAAUAAACCUAAAUGUUCUGAAAGUUCGGUCUCUUGCUCUCUUUGCUUAUGAAUCGGACACUUUGCCUUUCUUUAGUCCUUACACGGUUCCACCUCGCUUUGACUUCAUACUUUGAUGGUGUUUGUAGGUAUGAAGAGUGGUCAUAAUGUUACUUAAAGGAGGCCUCAACUCGCACCAAAUACAUGGGCAUGUGCAACAGCAACUUAUGUAGUUAGGAGGCUGAAGGUAGUAGCUUACUGAACUCUCAUUUCCGGAAAAAUCUGGAGAUGUCUUGUUUGUACAAUCUCUAAAGAUGGUGCUCCAUUGUUCUGUUAAUCAAGAUUUGUUCCCUCCUUUCUUACUAGCUGAUACGUGAUGACCGUUUGCACGGGGGGUUAUGUUAACUAUAUUCUAUUCAUGAUUCAAACUUUUUGUUGGGUAAUUUAGUUUAGACAUUGUGUCCUGAGAAUCUUGAUAUCUAGCUGUAUCGGUAUAGUGUAGUUUGUGAUUUUCCCUCUGAAUUUAUAUAUCCACUCAGGUUGGGAUAGGUUAUGAGUAUUCUUAGUGUGGAAACAGCGGCAGUGCUGCACUUUCAUCA
Triticum dicoccoides is the source of this 1717-nucleotide long non-coding RNA. RefSeq lists it as uncharacterized. Lineage: Eukaryota; Viridiplantae; Streptophyta; Magnoliopsida; Poales; Poaceae. The record is from RefSeq and is a predicted model, not a curated record. The transcript has 5 exons.